Molecule: ribosomal RNA, 433 nt
Filed under: uncultured bacterium
Lineage: Bacteria
Description: partial 16S ribosomal RNA
Rfam family: Bacterial small subunit ribosomal RNA
Source: RNAcentral
AGCGAACGCUGGCGGCAGGCCUAACACAUGCAAGUCGAACGAACUCUUCGGAGUUAGUGGCGGACGGGUGAGUACCACGUGGUAACGUGCCUUUAGGUUCGGAAUAACUCAGGGAAACUUGUGCUAAUACCGAAUGUGCCCUUCGGGGGAAAGAUUUCUCGCCUUUAGAGCGGCCCGCGUCUGAUUAGCUAGUUGGUGAGGUAAAGGCUCACCAAGGCGACGAUCAGUAGCUGGUCGGAGAGGAUGAUCAGCCACAUUGGGACUGAGACACGGCCCAAACUCCUACGGGAGGCAGCAGUGGGGAAUCUUGCGCAAGGGGCGAAAGCCUGACGCAGCCAUGCCGGGUGAAUGAUGAAGGUCGUAGGAUUGUAAAAUUCUUUCACCGGGGACGAUAAUGACGGUACCCGGAGAAGAAGCCCCGGCUAACUUCGUG